This 1302-nucleotide ribosomal RNA is filed under the name Triticum aestivum (bread wheat). RNAcentral describes it as "partial small subunit ribosomal RNA". The record is from RNAcentral. Lineage: Eukaryota; Viridiplantae; Streptophyta; Magnoliopsida; Poales; Poaceae.
AUGGCGGCGGCGGCGGCAAAGCCCGUGCCAGUGGAGCGGCUCGGGCAGCGACUGGUGGCGCCGGCGGCUCCGACGCCGGAGAGCCCUCUGCGCCUGUCGUGGCUCGACCGCUACCCCACUCAGAUGGCACUCAUCGAGUCGCUGCACGUGUUCAAGCCCGACAUGGCCAGGGAGGGUGACAGCCCCGCGAGGGCCGUGGAGCAGGCCCUGGCGAGGGCGCUGGUGGAGUACUACCCGCUGGCAGGCCGCCUCACGGUGACCAACGCCGGCGAGCUGCAGGUGGACUGCAGCGACGGAGGCGUGUGGUUCAUUGAGGCUGCCGUCAGGUGUCGGCUAGAGGACGUGGACUAUCUCGAGUACCCGCUCGCCGUGGACAAGGACGAGCUGCUCCCCCACCCGCGCCCCAAGCCCAGCCGUGAGGAGGAGAGCAAGCUCAUCUUGCUUGUCCAGGUCACGACGUUCGAUUGCGGCGGCUUCGUGGUGGGGUUCCGGUUCAGCCACACGGUGGCCGACGGGCCCGGGGCGGCGCAGUUCAUGGGCGCGGUGGGGGAGCUGGCGCGCGGGGCGGGCCGCAUCUCGGUGGCACCGGUGUGGGGCCGCGACGCGAUCCCUGACCCGGCCGGCGCCCUCGUCGGCAGCCUCCCGGACCCCGCGGGCGCCAAGCGGCUGGAAUACCUCGCCAUAGACAUCUCCGCCGACUACAUCAACCACUUCAAGGGCCAGUUCGCGGCGGCCACCGGUGGCGCCCGGUGCUCAGCGUUCGAGGUGCUCAUCGCCAAGGCCUGGCAGAGCCGCACGCGCGCCGUUUGCUUCGACGAGGGUUCCCCCGUGCACCUCUGCUUCGCGAUGAACGCGCGGCCGCUCCUCCACGCCCGCCUUCCCUCCGGGGGCGCCGGCUUCUACGGCAACUGCUACUACAUCAUGCGCGUCUCCUCCACCGCCGGGAAGGUGGCGUCCUCCACCAUCACCGACGUCGUGAAGAUCAUCAAGGAGGGGAAGAAGCGGCUGCCCUCGGAGUUCGCGCGGUGGGGCGCCGGCGAGAUGGCGAGCGUCGACCCGUACCAGAUCACCUCCGACUACCGGACGCUGCUCGUCUCCGACUGGACGCGGCUGGGCUUCGCCGAGGUGGACUACGGGUGGGGCCCGCCCGCCCACGUCGUGCCGCUGACAAACCUGGACUACAUCGCCACGUGCAUCCUCGUCAAGCCCUGGGUACACAAGCCAGGCGCCCGGCUCAUCACGCAGUGCGUGACGCCGGACCGUGUCGCCGCUUUCCACGACGCCUUGGUGGACACCAACUAG